RNAcentral lists this long non-coding RNA (403 nucleotides) under Salvia miltiorrhiza (redroot sage). Its description in RNAcentral is "long non-coding RNA (SMIL_LNC011310)". The record is from RNAcentral. Lineage: Eukaryota; Viridiplantae; Streptophyta; Magnoliopsida; Lamiales; Lamiaceae.
UUUUGAUAUAUGAUAUUUGUGAGUUUAAUUCUCUCUCAAGUUUCGAAUUCUUCUUGACUCAAACAAGGAUUCAACCUAUCGACGAAUCGACGAGAUCAUCAUCCCUCGCCGUGUGUCAUUCAGCGUCUCCGAGUUACUGCGUCAAAUGCACGUUGGGGUUUAGGGAAUUGUUCGCCUAGAUCAUUUCGUGGUUUAGAUUCAGGGGUUUUGAGACAUUCCAUCUUCUAUCUGUCUUUAAUUUGUUUGUCGUGCGUUUUCAGUCUUCCGCUUACAAAUCAUUUAGACCUGGUAAUUUCCAUAUCGUUAUAUUAUUGCUGGUGUUUGCCGGUGAAAUCCUUAACUACCGGCGAAGAUCAUAUCAUCUGGUAUCAGUUUUCCAGGUUUCGUAAGGGUUACGCUAUCC